GAUGAACGCUAGCGGCAGGCUUAACACAUGCAAGUCGAGGGGCAUCGCGGAGUAGCAAUACUUUGGCGGCGACCGGCGCAAGGGUGCGUAACGCGUGAGCAACAUGCCCGCAACAGGGGGAUAACCCGAUGAAAGUCGGACUAAUAUUCCAUAGCAAGUAGGAGUGGCAUCACUUUUACUUUAAAGAUUCGUUGGUUGCGGAUUGGCUCGCGUGACAUUAGUUAGUUGGUGGGGUAACGGCCUACCAAGGCGGUGAUGUCUAGGGGUUCUGAGAGGAAGGUCCCCCACACUGGAACUGAGACACGGUCCAGACUCCUACGGGAGGCAGCAGUGAGGAAUAUUGGACAAUGGGCGGAAGCCUGAUCCAGCCAUGCCGCGUGCAGGAAGAAGGUUCUAUGGAUUGUAAACUGCUUUUGUAUGGGAGCAAUAAUACCUACGUGUAGGUAGAUGAGAGUACCAUACGAAUAAGCAUCGGCUAACUCCGUGCCANCAGCCGCGGUAAUACGGAGGAUGCGAGCGUUAUCCGGAUUUAUUGGGUUUAAAGGGUGCGUAGGCGGGUUGGAUAAGUCAGCGGUGAAAGAUUUGCAGCUUUAACUGUAGGGUUGCCGUUGAUACUGUUCAGCUAGAAAGUAGUUGAAGUGAUCGGAAUGUGUGGUGUAGCGGUGAAAUGCUUAGAUAUCACACAGAAUAUCGAUAGCGCAGGCAGGUCACUAAGCUAUAUUUGACGCUGAGGCACGAAAGUGUGGGGAUCAAACAGGAUUAGAUACCCUGGUAGUCCACACUGUAAACGAUGAUAACUAGUUGUCGGCGAUAGACAGUCGGUGACCAAGCGAAAGCGAUAAGUUAUCCACCUGGGGAGUACGGCCGCAAGGUUGAAACUCAAAGGAAUUGACGGGGGCCCGCACAAGCGGAGGAACAUGUGGUUUAAUUCGAUGAUACGCGAGGAACCUUACCCGGGCUCGAACGGUUGAUGAAUAAUACAGAGAUGUAUUAGUUCGCAAGAACAUCAGUCGAGGUGCUGCAUGGUUGUCGUCAGCUCGUGCCGUGAGGUGUCGGCUUAAGUGCCAUAACGAGCGCAACCCUUGUUGCUAGUUGCUACGAGAGAGCACUCUAGCGAGACUGCCGUUGACAAAACGGAGGAAGGAGGGGACGAUGUCAAAUCAUCAUGCCCUUUAUGUCCUGGGCUACACACGUAAUACAAUGGCGUUUAACAAUGGGAAGCGAAGCCGUGAGGUGGAGCGAAUCCCCAAAAGGCGUCUCAGUUCGGAUCGCAGGCUGCAACUCGCCUGCGUGAAGUCGGAAUUGCUAGUAAUCGCGGAUCAGCUAGCCGCGGUGAAUACGUUCCCGGGGCUUGUACACACCGCCCGUCACACCAUGAGAGCCGGGGACACCCGAAGCCCGUAGCCUAACCAUUUGGAGGGCGCGGUCGAAGGUGGAUUUGGUAAU
RNAcentral lists this ribosomal RNA (1446 nucleotides) under uncultured Bacteroidota bacterium. Its description in RNAcentral is "bacterial SSU rRNA". It matches the Rfam family "Bacterial small subunit ribosomal RNA". Lineage: Bacteria; Pseudomonadati; Bacteroidota. The record is from RNAcentral.